Long non-coding RNA from Gopherus flavomarginatus (Mexican gopher tortoise), 412 nucleotides. RefSeq lists it as uncharacterized. The transcript is spliced from 4 exons. Lineage: Eukaryota; Metazoa; Chordata; Testudines; Testudinidae. The record is from RefSeq and is a predicted model, not a curated record.
GGAACUCGGCGCGCGCUCCUUGUGUGGCGCCGCUGGGGUGAGCCCAGCCAGCGCGGGGACCGUCACACAGAUCUGAAGAAGAGCUCAGUGAAUCAUCUCAAAAGCUUAUCCCUUCCUCCAAAAGAAGUUGGUUCAAUAAAAGAUAUGACCUCAUCCACCUUGUCUCUCUCAUGUGCAUAGUUAUUCAGAUCAAAAUGUGACACCUUCUCACAGAUUAGAGUGGCAAAUUUAAGCAAAUAGAAGAUGUGAUUUGGAGUUUUCUGUGUUUCCUACAACCGAAAGGGCUACACUUCUUCCUUUAAAUAAAGUCCUUAAAAUCAAAUACAAAAAUAGUGGGGGUAUUUUUUAUUUGAUUGACAGCUAGAGCUAUACAGUAUGUGUGAUACCACUCCUAAAUGACAAAUACCAUGAA